This is a long non-coding RNA of Coffea eugenioides, 314 nucleotides long. RefSeq lists it as uncharacterized. Lineage: Eukaryota; Viridiplantae; Streptophyta; Magnoliopsida; Gentianales; Rubiaceae. The transcript has 3 exons. The record is from RefSeq and is a predicted model, not a curated record.
CAACCCGCCGUCCCGCCGGCGGCAGCGGUGGAGCAAUACUCGUCAUUUAUCAUCACAAUUUAAACACCUUCGCACUAUCCACACAUCCCUUUCAGUUCUGGAGUUUGGUUCUUCCACUUUCAAUCAUCAAAAUUUGCUCAUCCUUUCUUCCUGGGCAAUAAUCCCACACAGGAGAAGCCAUUGUUUGACUGGAGAAGUUGCAGCCUCCUUCGCCGUAACCGUCAUACACAGUGAGCAUUUCAAGACCUCCAGUGUCAUAAAAGCUUCGCUCCUUUGUCUCAGUGAUUGGCCCAGAUUCCAUACUUGGGCUGUUA